Molecule: unclassified non-coding RNA, 252 nt
Filed under: uncultured fungus
Lineage: Eukaryota; Fungi
Description: sequence contains ITS1
Source: RNAcentral
GUAUUAGAUGCGUUAGACGCGGUAUACAUUCUGAACUUUAUAGAGUGUGUGAAAACGUAGGACCGAAUCGGGGUUUCAAGAGAGGUGUGUUCGCCUUUACGGCUACUAAAAUCUCUCUUCCUCCCUCUUCAGAACUACCGAAGGUGCACAGGUGUGAGAUGGACGAGAAAGAGGUGUGCACAUGCCCCGGAAGGCCAGCGACAACCUCGUUCGAACUCGUUAAUGAUCCUUCCGCAGGUUCACCUACGGAAA